RNAcentral lists this long non-coding RNA (946 nucleotides) under Rattus norvegicus (Norway rat). RNAcentral describes it as "long non-coding RNA NONRATT004279". Lineage: Eukaryota; Metazoa; Chordata; Mammalia; Rodentia; Muridae. The record is from RNAcentral.
GUCUUUUGUUGUUUUUUUUUUUUUUUUUUUGAUGUCCUUGUAACCCAUUUGUUAGUGGAAUUGCUCUGUUGUAUUCUGUUGAAAUUCAGUGAGUAGAUUUGUGUUAGAAUUUAGAAUCUCAGAAAGUUUCCUAUGGGCCAUUGUACAUUAUUUUUGAUUGUGGCUCAGAAUAUAUGUAGCAGGUAGAAAUGUCUGGGAUGUUUUCUUAAACUUGGAGCUUUUCAUAGUUCUAUCUGAAAUCUCUCAUUACUACUUAGUAAUUCUAGUCUUUAAUAAGUGAAUGGCUUGUGCACCUAAUAUUCUCAAACCUCAGCUUUGCUGGAAAGGCCUGUAGUUUCUUAAAAACUCUCUAGUCCUUGUAAGAUUCCCUGAUUUUAUAAUGCUUUGAUCAUCAUAUUCUUUACUUACUCAGAGCCCAAGGAAUGAGCUGCUACUUCUUUACAGUGUGGCUGUGAUAAAUGUGAAGAGAGUUUUGGCCUGUUUAAUAAUUUUUCAACUACUUAAUGGUACAGAUAAAUAUGUGCUACAUGUUAAAAAUACCUGUUCAUUGUUACAGGAAAUUAAAAAGGGAUCUUUUAUAUUAUAGGAUUAAAACUAAUUUUCUGUAUAUGUUAACUAAUUGAUUUGAUUUUAAAUAUCUUGCAUUUAUUAAUAUGUCUUAAUAUUGAAUUUGAAACUAUUAAGUGCAAUAAACAUUACUACAGAUUUCAUUUUGUUGCAGUUGGCACACAGUGCAGAUGAUCACUAAAAAUAAUUUGCAUAAUGCCUACAUCCAGUAGCUGUCUUAUGAGAAUGUUCUGCUUUCUCUUAAGUUAUUUAGAUGAUGACUAUAUAAAAUGUACAUACUUGUUUGUUGUUCUGAAUACAUUUCUCAAAUGUACACCUGUAUUAUAAUAACCUCCCAGUUCUAGGGGAAAUUUGUGCAAUAAACACUCAUGUCAAUUUG